GACAGAGGGUGCAAACGUUGUUCGGAAUUACUGGGCGUAAAGCGUGUGUAGGCGGCCAUGCAAGUCGGAUGUGAAAGCCCCGGGCUCAACCCGGGAAGUGCACCCGAAACUGCAUAGCUUGAGUAUCGGAGAGGUUGGUGGAAUUCUCGGUGUAGAGGUGAAAUUCGUAGAUAUCGAGAGGAACACCGGUGGCGAAGGCGGCCAACUGGACGAAUACUGACGCUGAGACACGAAAGCCAGGGGAGCGAACGGG
RNAcentral lists this ribosomal RNA (253 nucleotides) under uncultured bacterium. RNAcentral's name for it is "partial 16S ribosomal RNA". It matches the Rfam family "Bacterial small subunit ribosomal RNA", at positions 524 to 776 of the family's 1533-position model. The record is from RNAcentral.